Molecule: ribosomal RNA, 253 nt
Filed under: uncultured bacterium
Lineage: Bacteria
Description: partial 16S ribosomal RNA
Rfam family: Bacterial small subunit ribosomal RNA
Source: RNAcentral
UACGUAGGGUGCGAGCGUUGUCCGGAAUUAUUGGGCGUAAAGAGCUUGUAGGCGGUCUGUCGCGUCUGCUGUGAAAAUCCGGGGCUCAACCCCGGACUUGCAGUGGGUACGGGCAGACUAGAGGUCGGUAGGGGAGUGUGGAAUUCCUGGUGUAGCGGUGAAAUGCGCAGAUAUCAGGAGGAACACCGAUGGCGAAGGCAGGUCUCUGGGCUGUAACUGACGCUGAGGAGCGAAAGCAUGGGGAGCGAACAGG